UGGGCCCGAGUUUGAUCAUGGCUCAGAACGAACGCUGGCGGCAUGCCUAACACAUGCAAGUCGAACGCUUCUCUUCGGAGAGGAGUGGCGCACGGGUGAGUAACGCGUGGGAACCUGCCUUGGAGUGGGGGAUAACCGAUGGAAACGUCGGCUAAUACCGCAUACGUCCUGAGGGAGAAAGAUUUAUCGCUCUGAGAGGGGCCCGCGUCGGAUUAGCUAGUUGGUGGGGUAACGGCCUACCAAGGCGAUGAUCCGUAGCUGGUCUGAGAGGAUGAUCAGCCACACUGGGACUGAGACACGGCCCAGACUCCUACGGGAGGCAGCAGUGGGGAAUAUUGGACAAUGGGCGCAAGCCUGAUCCAGCAAUGCCGCGUGAGUGAUGACGGCCUUAGGGUUGUAAAGCUCUUUCGGCGGGGACGAUGAUGACGGUACCCGCAGAAGAAGCCCCGGCUAACUUCGUGCCAGCAGCCGCGGUUA
This 477-nucleotide ribosomal RNA is filed under the name uncultured bacterium. Its description in RNAcentral is "bacterial SSU rRNA". It matches the Rfam family "Bacterial small subunit ribosomal RNA", at positions 1 to 523 of the family's 1533-position model. The record is from RNAcentral.